UACGUAGGUCGCGAGCGUUAUCCGGAAUUAUUGGGCGUAAAGAGUUCGUAGGUGGUUUGUUAAGUCUUAUGUGAAAGCCCUCGGCUCAACCGAGGAACUGCAUAAGAUACUGGCAAGCUAGAAUUUAGGAGAGGUAACUGGAAUUCCAUGUGUAGCGGUGGAAUGCGUAGAUAUAUGGAGGAACACCAAUAGCGAAGGCAGGUUACUGGACUAUAAUUGACACUGAGGAACGAAAGCGUGGGUAGCAAACAGG
RNAcentral lists this ribosomal RNA (253 nucleotides) under uncultured bacterium. RNAcentral's name for it is "partial 16S ribosomal RNA". It matches the Rfam family "Bacterial small subunit ribosomal RNA", at positions 524 to 776 of the family's 1533-position model. The record is from RNAcentral.